Long non-coding RNA from Sarcophilus harrisii (Tasmanian devil), 608 nucleotides. RefSeq lists it as uncharacterized. The transcript is spliced from 3 exons. The record is from RefSeq and is a predicted model, not a curated record. Lineage: Eukaryota; Metazoa; Chordata; Mammalia; Dasyuromorphia; Dasyuridae.
UGGCAACAAUAAGAAGCUUCUAGUGUCUAAAUGAAUUCAGAAGAAUCAGAAAAGCAAGAUCAGUUAAAUGUGGUCAGGAAUUUAAAACAUACAUAAAACUAAAAUCUUUUUUUAUUUUCCUGUAAAAUAACUAAGUCCAGCAAAUUGAAGUAACUCUUGACCAAGAAAGAAGCUUAUUAUAUUUUCCUCUGAGGCAAUUACAGCCUUUCUGCUUCCAAAGGCUCAUACAGUCUGCCAGAAGAGAAUUGGACUUCAAUCCCCAGUGUUACAUAUUCAAAAUUAACACCCGCUCCCUGAAGUAGCAGAACCAACCUGAUGAAUACGAAGCUAAAGGCCAAGCAUCGAUAACAAGGAUCAUUCCAGUAGAGACCACCUGCCAAACUAAGACUGGACCAUUAACAACUACUUUUUGAAAUAGAUGUAAUAGCCACGAUGAGCAGCAUUAUUUUGACACCAAAAUGUUCUACUUUAUUCACCAAAUGCUAUUAAUAAUUAAACUGACACAUUCAAAAUAUCUGCAACUUCUAUUUUUAUAUUUGAACUUUGCUACCUACCCCUAUUGGAAAUUUAGGCUUAAAUAAAAGUCUACAAAAAGAACUUAUGGCAUG